RNAcentral lists this ribosomal RNA (276 nucleotides) under Phialina salinarum. RNAcentral's name for it is "partial 18S ribosomal RNA". It matches the Rfam family "Eukaryotic small subunit ribosomal RNA", at positions 594 to 945 of the family's 1831-position model. The record is from RNAcentral. Lineage: Eukaryota; Ciliophora; Litostomatea; Haptorida; Lacrymariidae.
AUAGCGUAUAUUAAAGUUGUUGCAGUUAAAAAGCUCGUAGUUGGAUUUCAAAGUGGAGGUAGGGAAACUUACCGAAGCUUAUCAGUCCGAAAGGACUGUUACUGUGAGAAAAUUAGAGUGUUUCAAGCAGGCUUUUGCAGGAAUACAUUAGCAUGGAAUAACGAGUGUAUCUAGAAUCUUGGUUAAUUCUAGAAUGCGAUUAAUAGGGACAGUUGGGGGCAUUAGUAUUUAAUUGUCAGAGGUGAAAUUCUUGGAUUUAUUAAAGACUAACGUAUG